This 108-nucleotide non-coding RNA is filed under the name Novosphingobium sp. Fuku2-ISO-50. RNAcentral's name for it is "TPP riboswitch aptamer (THI element)". It matches the Rfam family "TPP riboswitch aptamer (THI element)". From Rfam's summary of the family: Vitamin B(1) in its active form thiamin pyrophosphate (TPP) is an essential coenzyme that is synthesised by coupling of pyrimidine and thiazole moieties in bacteria. The previously detected thiamin-regulatory element, thi box was extended, resulting in a new, highly conserved RNA secondary structure, the THI element, which is widely distributed in eubacteria and also occurs in some archaea. The record is from Rfam by way of RNAcentral. RNAcentral also lists the same sequence under 1 other name. Lineage: Bacteria; Pseudomonadati; Pseudomonadota; Alphaproteobacteria; Sphingomonadales; Sphingomonadaceae.
CUACGAACCUCGGGGAGCCUGUGUGGGCUGAGAGGGGCCAGUCACGUGGCCCGACCCGUCGAACCUGAACCCGUUAGCACGGGCGGAGGGAAGGGCCGGCGAUCGCAA